CAGGCGCGUAAAUUACCCAAUGCCUGAACACAGGGAGGUAGUGACAAGAAAUAACAAUACGAGUACCAUUAUGGUUUUGUAAUUGGAAUGAGUACAAUGUAAAUACCUUAACGAGUAUCGAUUGGAGGGCAAGUCUGGUGCCAGCAGCCGCGGUAAUUCCAGCUCCAAUAGCGUAUAUUAAAGUUGUUGCAGUUAAAAAGCUCGUAGUUGGAUUUCUGAUGAAGAUGGCGGUCCGUGUAUUUGAUACAUGUGUACCGUUAUAUAAUUUUCAUCAUACUUGUAUUUUUAUAGUUUACUAUAUGAAUACAUCAUUUACUGUGAAUAAAUUAGAGUGUUUAAAGCAGGCAAUUGCUUGAAUACUUCAGCAUGGAAUAAUAAGAUAGGACUUUGGUGCUAUUUUGUUGGUUGCGUACCGAAGUAAUGAUUAAUAGGGAUAGUUGGGGGUAUUCAUAUUUCAUUGUCAGAGGUGAAAUUCUUGGAUUUAUGAAAGAUGAACAACUGCGAAAGCAUUUACCAAGGAUGUUUUCAUUAAUCAAGAACGAAAGUCAGGGGAUCGAAGAUGAUUAGAUACCAUCGUA
Molecule: ribosomal RNA, 578 nt
Filed under: Thraustochytriidae sp. Fng101
Lineage: Eukaryota; Bigyra; Thraustochytrida; Thraustochytriidae
Description: bacterial SSU rRNA
Rfam family: Eukaryotic small subunit ribosomal RNA
Source: RNAcentral